CGGAGGAAAAGAAACUAACCAGGAUUCCCUCAGUAGCGGCGAGCGAAGCGGGAAGAGCCCAAAAUGAAAAGCCAGCUUGCUGGCGUUGUAUUUGAGCGUCUUUGGGGUGUCAGUUCGGGAAAGUGGCAUGGAAAUGCGCGCCGAGGAGGGUGAUAGCCCCGUCCAUCCCGUUCAGGACACUUCGCACUAAGGCGUUUCAGUCGAGUCGGGUAGCUUGGGAAUGCUGCUCUAAUUGGUGGUAAAUCUCAUCAAAGGCUAAAUAAUGGUAGGAGACCGAUAGCGAAAAAGUACCGUGAGGGAAAGAUGAAAAGCACUUUGAAAAGAGGGUAAAAAGAACCUGAAACCGUUACGGGGGAAGCGGAUUGCGUUAGCCUGGUGGCUACCUGCGUGUUCAGCCUUUAUGGUGCAUUGAUGCAGGUGGUUAUCUGUCGUGGCUUUUUGGUGACUGAUAUUGAGUUGCUGAAGGGUGAGGGCUCCCCUUUUUGGGUGAGGACGACGGAGUGAUGACGCGAUACGACCCGUCUUGAAACACGGACCAAGGAGUCUAGCGCGGGUGCGAGUCAAAGGGUUGUAAACCCGUGGGCGAAGUGAAAGCAAGUUUUUUUACAAAACGAGCAGUUUGGGGCGGCAUAGAAUCGUUGAUUCUAGGUCUGACCUUGAGCAGUUGCGCUGGGACCCGAAAGAUGGUGAACUAUGCCGGAGUAGGGCGAAGCCAGAAGAAAUUCUGGUGGAGGCUCGUAGCGGUGCUGACGUGCAAAUCGCUCGUCGAACUUGGGUAUAGGGGCGAAAGACUAAUCGAACCAUCUAGUAGCUGGUUUCCUCCGAAGUUUCUCUCAGGAUAGCAGGCCGACACGAGUUGUUUUGUGCGGUAAAGCGAAUGAUUAGCGCAUUCGGGGGCGUUUAGCCUUCGGGCGAUUCUCAAACUUUAAAUGCGCAAGGGUACCGGUGCUUUGUUGAGCGGUACCGUUAAAAACGUCGGCCUUGUGGGCCACUUUUGGUAAGCAGAACUGGCGAUACGGGAUGAACCGUAAGCAUGGUUAAGGUGCCAAACUGCCCGCUUAUAGAUCCCACAAAAGGUGUUGAUUCAUCGAGACAGCAGGACGGUGGCCAUGGAAGUCGGAAUCCGCCAAGGAGUGUGUAACAACUCACCUGCCGAAUGAAUUAGCCCUGAAAAUGGAUGGCGCUUAAGCGGGCGACCGACACCAUGCCGUCUGUAAAAGAAAUCAGAUGAGUAGGAGGACGUGGCGGCUGUGUCGAAGCAUGCGUGCAGAUGCGUGUGGAACAGCCGCUAGUGCAGAUCUUGGUGGUAGUAGCAAAUAUUCAAGCGAGAUCCUUGAAGGGCGAAGCGGGGAAGGGUUCCACGCGAACAUUGAUUGGGCGUGGGUGAGUCGUUCCUAAGCCGAGUGGCAAUUGCUAAGUAGCGGCGAAAGGGAAGCAGGUUGACAUUCCUGCACACGGAUGUGGAGGCGGUGACGCUUUAAUGAGGGCGAACACGCUGGCGGUGGCGCUGGGCAGAGUUUUCUUUUCUGUUUGACCGCUGAAGCACACAGUGUGGAAUCCGCUUGUCGGGAGAAACACGCGUGCUCGGGCAGAGCGCCGGGGCUAUUCCGGCGUCCAGCUCGCAACCGACGGCCCUUGAAACUUUGCCUGCUGGUAUUUUUAUUAAGAUCCACGCCGUGGCGUACCGAUCACCGCAUCAGGUCCCCAAGGUGAACAGCCUCUGCUCGAUAUGAAAAAUGCAGGUAAGGGAAGUCGGCAAAUUGGACCCGUAACUUUGGGAAAAGGGUUGGCUCUAGUGCUGCGUGGGAGUGGUUGUCGGGUGUUGGCGUUUUUGGAUUUACUGAGCGAGCGCGAUGAGCUCUUCGGGGUUUGUUUUGUUUAAUUGGCGAGUCUGGAUCCGCCACGCUCGACGACGCCCACAGCAUGCAGCAGACUAGAACUGCAACGGGCAAAGGGAAUCCGACUGUUUAAUUAAAACAAAGCAUUGCGAGGGCCGUGGCCGGUGAUGACGCAAU
This 2015-nucleotide ribosomal RNA is filed under the name Cryptonemia abyssalis. Its description in RNAcentral is "eukaryotic LSU rRNA". It matches the Rfam family "Eukaryotic large subunit ribosomal RNA", at positions 51 to 2190 of the family's 3401-position model. Lineage: Eukaryota; Rhodophyta; Florideophyceae; Halymeniales; Halymeniaceae. The record is from RNAcentral.